GGGUGUGGCUCUCCUGGCGGGAUUUGGGAGUGAAUCUUAGCACACUCUUCAGUGGCAGGUUGGCAGAUGCCAAGUGUUGAGGGACUCACAGACGGACGCUCUUCUGUUCUCCCCUGCUCCUUGCGCUGGCGGCUGGAAAGUGAGUGUUCUGCUCGGUAUUUUCUGAAUUCCUAUACCAUAAAUAUUCUCUUAACCAAAGGCCUGUCAGCAGAAGAGCCAACCCUGAAAGCCCUUGGUAAUUGGC
Long non-coding RNA from Nycticebus coucang (slow loris), 244 nucleotides. RefSeq lists it as uncharacterized. Lineage: Eukaryota; Metazoa; Chordata; Mammalia; Primates; Lorisidae. The transcript has 3 exons. The record is from RefSeq and is a predicted model, not a curated record.